UAGCAACCACAACAACAGCCGCUGUUGCUGGUGGUGGUGGUGGUGGUGUUGCUACUGCUGGUGGAAGUAGCAGCGAUCCUCCUCCUGCUCCUUCUACUCAUCAGCUACCUGGUGGUGGUGGUGCCCAUGAAAGCUCUAGUGAAGUUGGGCAUGUGGGCUCGAACAAUUCAUGUGAAGAUGAUAAAGGAAGAGGCGAUGAAGGUGACCGCAGCUUUGGAGGUAACCGGUGGCCAAGACAAGAGACUUUGGCACUCUUGAAAAUAAGGUCGGAUAUGGACGUGGCGUUUCGAGAUGCCAGUGUAAAGGGUCCCUUGUGGGAAGAGGUUUC
Molecule: unclassified non-coding RNA, 328 nt
Filed under: Hevea brasiliensis (rubber tree)
Lineage: Eukaryota; Viridiplantae; Streptophyta; Magnoliopsida; Malpighiales; Euphorbiaceae
Source: RNAcentral